AUAUGGGGUUUAAAGUUUGAAGCUUUUAGCCAUGGAGGGAUUGGUGAAGAAAUAUCAGCAAAGAUUUAGAAAAGUGAGAGGAUUAAUGGAGGAAUGGGAACAGCUUCAAUCUCGAUUAAUCUCUCAAUUUAGUAACGCUUCUGCUAUUACUGAGAGGUUAAAGGUGAUUGGAGAUUGUAAUAAUUAUGGUAAUUUGAAGAGUGUGGAUGGAAUUGUAGAUGCAGUGGUGAGAAAGCAGCUCGAGUCUUUGCAGACCAUUUUGCUUUCCAUGAAUAAGACUUUGGAAGAGUUUCGCGGUGUGGUUUUGACAAUUGAGAAGAUGUAUAGGGAUGGUAGACAGUUAGUUAAAGGGGGUGGAGGUUCUAAUCAGUUGAAUGCGAAACAAUUGCGGCAACGAAUUGGGAUUAAACCAUGUCUUGCUGACUGUCUAGAUGGGCUUAUGAUUCUUCAUGAAAUGCAUCAGGCUGAAUACCUGCUUAAAUCAUCAGUUGUUUCAGCACUUUCAGCACUCACCUUGAAACCCAGAUAUCUUCGUAUGUCUGCUAAUGACUUUACAAUCCAAGGGUUAUAAACAUACUGGCUUGGCUAUAUUGCAGUUCCAGUGAUCUUGGUGCGCUGCAACAACUCUUGAUUGAUCAGCCUAAUAUCCCCAAAGAGGAAGUACAAGUCGUCUUUGAAAUUAUUUUUGCGGAAGAGAUCUGUUAACUCCCUUUGUGGUUGCUGAUAAGAGUCUGUGUGGAAACCUGGUAGCAGCAUGUAGAUGGAGACACAGGAGUGAGUCUCCAUCUUCCUACUAAUAUAACUCGGCAUCUAUCAAAGCACAUGUGGAAUUCUCGAUCCACCGUCCCAGAGAAAACCACUCAAAAGCUUUCUUCUAGAGAUGCCUCUCCUACAAUUCAAAUGAUGAUAGAAGAUGCCGAUACACAAACGCAAACAAUUUUAUUUCUUGUAUUAGAAAUACGCUACCAUGGACGUGUUGUAUAUUUUUCCAAGGUCAGUAACCCAUGUGUGGGUGCAAGCUCAAGGCCAAGUUUUUCAA
This is an RNA transcript of Populus nigra (black poplar), 1039 nucleotides long. RefSeq lists it as uncharacterized. The transcript is spliced from 6 exons. Lineage: Eukaryota; Viridiplantae; Streptophyta; Magnoliopsida; Malpighiales; Salicaceae. The record is from RefSeq and is a predicted model, not a curated record.